AGAAAUUCAGAAAAAGAGACGAUUGAAAAGUGAAGAAAAUCACUGUUUCAUUGAAUAAUCCUAGUGGUUUCUUAAGUUCCUCACUCCUUGAAAGAUUUUUCAAGUUAAUAUAACUCAAAUGGAUUGAAAUUGGUUAUUUGAGGUUUUGUUUUUGAGGUCUGAUUUGGCAUUUGCUCAAGUGGAGUUGCCUUUUCAUGGUUUUUAAACUUAAAUGAGUCUAACUGGUACUGUUGUUAUCUGUUGAUACUGUUUUUGUUGUGCUGAUCCUCUUACUUUGCUCUCCAGGUACAUGGUCCUAAAACUCAUGUAAUAUGAUGUUCCAGUUGAGAAAUAAAAGUAGAGAUGGGAAUUCUGAAGCAUGGCAUCAGAUCUUUUGGCUCUUUAAUAUAGUUUUAUAUGCUUUUCUUCUUCUUUGUUUGCUAAGUUGUCUUCAUUGCUAUUCCUAGGAGGCUUCAAAUUUUGUAAACUAGUUUAUUUCUAUUCCAUUGCAGUUGCUAUUUGAUGUGUGUGCGGCAAGGUUGGUUUGUAAUAAUAGUUGAACUGUCGACCCUUAAUUGAUAGGUUUUCGUUAGAAAGAUUAUAAAGUUGUAUUUGCAAGUUUCAUAUUGAUCAGUUAUGA
This 619-nucleotide long non-coding RNA is filed under the name Nicotiana benthamiana. RNAcentral's name for it is "long non-coding RNA (NBEN_LNC026806)". Lineage: Eukaryota; Viridiplantae; Streptophyta; Magnoliopsida; Solanales; Solanaceae. The record is from RNAcentral.